UAGUCAUAUGCUUGUCUCAAAGAUUAAGCCAUGCAUGUCUAAGUUCAAGCGAAAAUAAAGUGAAACCGCGAAUGGCUCAUUACAUCAGUUAUGGUUCCUUAGAUCGCACUUACUACUUGGAUAACUGUGGUAAUUCUAGAGCUAAUACAUGCACUGAGCUCCAACCUUCACGGAAGGAGCGCUUUUAUUAGAUCAAAGCCAAUCGGGUCUUCGGAUCCGUUUUGUUGGUGACUCUGAAUAACUUUGCUGAUCGCAUGGUCUUGCACCGGCGACGUAUCUUUCAAGUGUCUGCCUUAUCAACUGUCGACGGUAGGGUAUUGGCCUACCGUGGUAGUAACGGGUAACGGGGAAUCAGGGUUCGAUUCCGGAGAGGGAGCCUGAGAAACGGCUACCACAUCCAAGGAAGGCAGCAGGCGCGCAAAUUACCCACUCCCGGCACGGGGAGGUAGUGACGAAAAAUAACGAUACGGAACUCAUACGAGGCUCCGUAAUCGGAAUGAGUACACUUUAAAUCCUUUAACGAGGAUCUAUU
RNAcentral lists this ribosomal RNA (532 nucleotides) under uncultured eukaryote. Its description in RNAcentral is "SSU rRNA". It matches the Rfam family "Eukaryotic small subunit ribosomal RNA", at positions 21 to 549 of the family's 1831-position model. The record is from RNAcentral.